AGAGACUAACAGGAUUCCCCUAGUAACUGCGAGUGAAGCGGGAGAAGCUCAAAUUUAAAAUCUGACAGUCUUUUGGCUGUCCGAGUUGUAAUCUAGAGAAGUGUUAUCCGCGCUGGACCGUGUACAAGUCUCCUGGAAUGGAGCAUCAUAGAGGGUGAGAAUCCCGUCUUUGACAUGGACUGCCAGGGCUUUGUGAUGCGCUCUCAAAGAGUCGAGUUGUUUGGGAAUGCAGCUCAAAAUGGGUGGUAAAUUCCAUCUAAAGCUAAAUAUUGGCGAGAGACCGAUAGCGAACAAGUACCGUGAGGGAAAGAUGAAAAGAACUUUGGAAAGAGAGUUAAACAGUACGUGAAAUUGCUGAAAGGGAAACGCUUGAAGUCAGUCGCAUUGUCCAGGGAUCAACCUUGCUUUUGCUUGGUGCACUUUCUGGUUUGAUGGGUCAGCAUCAAUUUUGACUGUUGGAAAAAGGUCAAGGGAAUGUGGCAUCUUGGGAUGUGUUUAUAGCCCUUGGUCACAUACAAUGGUUGGGAUUGAGGAACUCAGCACGCCGCAAGGCCGGGUUUUAAACCACGUACGUGCUUAGGAUGCUGGCAAUAUGGCUUUAAUCGACCCGUCUUGAAACACGGACCAAGGAGUCUAACAUGCCUGCGAGUGUUUGGGUGGAAAACCCGAGCGCGUAAUGAAAGUGAAAGGUUGAGAUCCCUGUCGUGGGGAGCAUCGACGCCCGGACCAGACCUUUUGUGACGGUUCCGCGGUAGAGCAUGUAUGUUGGGACCCGAAAGAUGGUGAACUAUGCCUGAAUAGGGUGAAUCCAGAGGAAACUCUGGUGGAGGCUCGUAGCGAUUCUGACGUGCAAAUCGAUCGUCAAAUUUGGGUAUAGGGGCGAAAGACUAAUCGAACC
Molecule: ribosomal RNA, 898 nt
Filed under: Cortinarius sp.
Lineage: Eukaryota; Fungi; Basidiomycota; Agaricomycetes; Agaricales; Cortinariaceae
Description: partial large subunit ribosomal RNA
Rfam family: Eukaryotic large subunit ribosomal RNA
Source: RNAcentral